GAAAUAAAAUCAUAACUCCCCUUAUGGAAGGAGAUAGACCGCAUGGGUAGCACCACAAUGGGCGUGAAGCUC
Molecule: small RNA, 72 nt
Filed under: Yersinia frederiksenii
Lineage: Bacteria; Pseudomonadati; Pseudomonadota; Gammaproteobacteria; Enterobacterales; Yersiniaceae
Description: PutA 5' UTR thermometer
Rfam family: PutA 5' UTR thermometer
About the family: Position upstream of pepN gene responsible for amino acid processing.
Source: RNAcentral